GAUGAACGCUAGCUACAGGCUUAACACAUGCAAGUCGAGGGGAAACGGCAUCGAAAGCUUGCUUUUGAUGGGCGUCGACCGGCGCACGGGUGAGUAACGCGUAUCCAACCUGCCCAUCACUUGGGAAUAACCUUGCGAAAGUAAGACUAAUGCCCAAUGACAUCCCACGAAGGCAUCCGAAUGGGAUUAAAGAUUUAUCGGUGAUGGAUGGGGAUGCGUCUGAUUAGCUUGUUGGCGGGGUGACGGCCCACCAAGGCAACGAUCAGUAGGGGUUCUGAGAGGAAGGUCCCCCACAUGGGAACUGAGACACGGGCCAAACUCCUACGGGAGGCAGCAGUGAGGAAGAUUGGUCAAUGGGCGAGAGCCUGAACCAGCCAAGUAGCGUGCAGGAUGACGGCCCUAUGGGUUGUAAACUGCUUUUAGAAGGGAAUAAAGUGGGUCACGUGUGACUUUUUGCAUGUACCUUAUGAAUAAGGACCGGCUAAUUCCGUG
RNAcentral lists this ribosomal RNA (492 nucleotides) under uncultured bacterium. RNAcentral's name for it is "partial 16S ribosomal RNA". It matches the Rfam family "Bacterial small subunit ribosomal RNA", at positions 28 to 507 of the family's 1533-position model. The record is from RNAcentral.